UAUUGGACAAUGGGCGCAAGCCUGAUCCAGCAAUGCCGCGUGAGUGAUGAAGGCCUUCGGGUCGUAAAGCUCUUUUACCAGGGAUGAUAAUGACAGUACCUGGAGAAUAAGCUCCGGCUAACUCCGUGCCAGCAGCCGCGGUAAUACGGAGGGAGCUAGCGUUGUUCGGAAUUACUGGGCGUAAAGCGCGCGUAGGCGGCUACUCAAGUCAGAGGUGAAAGCCCGGGGCUCAACCCCGGAACUGCCUUUGAAACUAGGUGGCUAGAAUCUUGGAGAGGUCAGUGGAAUUCCGAGUGUAGAGGUGAAAUUCGUAGAUAUUCGGAAGAACACCAGUGGCGAAGGCGACUGACUGGACAAGUAUUGACGCUGAGGUGCGA
RNAcentral lists this ribosomal RNA (377 nucleotides) under uncultured bacterium. Its description in RNAcentral is "bacterial SSU rRNA". It matches the Rfam family "Bacterial small subunit ribosomal RNA", at positions 362 to 756 of the family's 1533-position model. The record is from RNAcentral.